UACAGAGGGUGCGAGCGUUAAUCGGAGUUACUGGGCGUAAAGGGCGCAUAGGCGGUUAUAUAAGUGAGAUGUGAAAUCCCUGGGCUUAACCUAGGAACUGCAUCUCAUACUGUAUGACUGGAGUAUUGUAGAGGGUAGUGGAAUUUCCGGUGUAGCGGUGAAAUGCGUAGAGAUCGGAAGGAACACCAGUGGCGAAGGCGGCUACCUGGACAAAUACUGACGCUGAGGCGCGAGAGCGUGGGGAGCAAACGAGG
RNAcentral lists this ribosomal RNA (254 nucleotides) under uncultured bacterium. RNAcentral's name for it is "partial 16S ribosomal RNA". It matches the Rfam family "Bacterial small subunit ribosomal RNA", at positions 524 to 777 of the family's 1533-position model. The record is from RNAcentral.